UUUCAAGGGUUGAAAAACAGUGUUCACCUAGGUGUCUGCUAAUAGACUUUCUCCUAUUUUCCACUGCUGCUUACUGAAGCUUGUUUGCUGUCAAUUCAGGCAAGAUGUUAGCCUUAUGCAAGAAGGAGACCAAGUUGUGCCCAGAAGAACAGAGGUAGUAGAAUGGAAUGCAUAAGCAUGGAAGAGAUUUGGACUUCCUUUAAGACCUUGUUCUGAAUUCCUCACUCCGUUUAAGGCAAGGAUUUUAAAAGCUGCAAUCAAAUAUCUCCACUGACAUCUCCAUCGUUUGCCUGCUGGAAAUUAGAAAACAAACAUCCCCUCCUACCAUCCUUGCACCAGCAGGAAGAUUAAUUUAAAGUGUGAGGCAGAGCUCCAGAAGUUUUUCUCUUCAUUGUUUUGUUCUCGUGGCUUUAAACCAAGUCAUCAUUAACCCUUUCACGCAGCUUUUGUGGUGCUGAAAGAAAUGGCAUCGUAAAAGUUUUAAAGCCACCCGUGGUGAUAUAUCCAAAUUCUCUCAAAUGUAGCACAAAAUACUAAACAUAUAAUAAUAAAGAAUGAAAGUUUACUCA
Molecule: long non-coding RNA, 569 nt
Organism: Lagopus leucura (white-tailed ptarmigan)
Lineage: Eukaryota; Metazoa; Chordata; Aves; Galliformes; Phasianidae
Exons: 3
Source: RefSeq, a predicted model, not a curated record